This is a long non-coding RNA of Strigops habroptila (Kakapo), 2149 nucleotides long. RefSeq lists it as uncharacterized. The transcript has 2 exons. The record is from RefSeq and is a predicted model, not a curated record. Lineage: Eukaryota; Metazoa; Chordata; Aves; Psittaciformes; Psittacidae.
ACUGUUUAUGAUGGUCAUUUUUUGGUUCUGUUGAGACAAUCUAAUGAAUUAUAUUAAUUACUUUCUAUAUUUGUAUUAAGUGUAGUUGAGUCUGGGCAUUUCUUAUGAAGUUUGAACUGUGCCCUGCCAGGUGGCAGAAAAUUACAUUUUUUUCAGCAUUUUUAUAUUCACUGUCAGUAAUGGAGAAGUUGCAGGUUUUGCUUUCACAAUCAGUGAAGAUCCACAGCCACUUUGGACACCUGUACUUCCAAAAAGGGCAGCUGGGACUUCUCAGUGGGAAUACAUUAAAAAAUGGUGUAUGGCAUUUGACAUUUAAAUUAAGGCUGUUAAAUAAUACUUUUCUCCCAGGUGGCAAUUCUCUAUUACCUUGAUCUUACCUCCUUAAGGAACACCUCUUCUGCUUUUGAUUCCACUCUCCUCCCACCCUGAAGGUUUCCAUCUCUUGAGGUAAAUUCAAACCGAUGGUGAGUUGUGCUCAGGGAGUAAAAUCAGCAGCCUGGGUUAAAACUUAAAUAGAUCCCUCAGAUGAAAAUGGUGCAAAGACAGAAACUUGCCUUUAAGUAAGUGUCCUGUUCAGCACAGGUGACAUCCAGGACGAAUGUCUGGCCUCAGAAUUGGAUUACAGCUCUGGAAGCCUGAACCCCAAACAGCCUCUUGAAAUUUUAUCAGAUCAUUAAGAACAGUUAAGUUCCAUAGUUAAAGUUCUGUAUUAGAUUUUAAAGUUAUACAGCUAGGCUUCAGGAAAUUCUGCAUGAAACAUCAUGCUGGUCUGGUUCAAUUUUAUAUAACAAGCAACUUAACUUCAUGAGGUAACUGUCUUUUGGAUUAUAAGUAGCAGGGUAGUACUUUCAUUUAAAAUCUCAGUUUAAUCAGGUUGCAACUUUGCUGUAUUUGUAUUAUGCAUAAAAGUUCAGUGACAUUUUUGACAAAGCAUAUUUUCAAUUGCUUCAGUUCUCUUUUGUGAGAAGUAGUACAGUAAUAUUUGUCCUACUUUUGGGUACUUUUCAGUAUUCAUUUAAUAGUGAGAAAUAAUUGCAAAACCUCUGGUGUGGAAAAUGAAAUUCCAGAGAUGCUUACAUGGGGUAAAAACUGCUUUUUAAAUACUUGUAAUAUUUAUGAAGUGAUUUUUAUGAAGAUUUUGUAGCUGCUAGUUUCAGGAACUAAAUCACCAUUGAUUUUGUUUGUAGAAUGCCUGAUGUUAUCCAUGCAGAUGCAUUGCUUGAUAUUUAACUACACAAUAAAGGAACGAUCCCAGAAAUCUGCACCACCAGUGGACACUGUGAGAGGUAUCCAGACUAUUCUUGGAAGGUUUACCUGAGACUGCAGGAUCGUGCUGCUGCUUGCACUAAAUUAGUAGCUUGUGAUGGCAGAGAUGAAGAGACUCCAUCUUUUUUCUUCCCACUCUGUGGCAGUAUCUUCCUCUUUUUCAGAAGCACUUCAGAGCAGCUACGCUAUAUCAGGUGCUUUGAAUCACCUUCCAGAGAUUCACUUCUCCCUUCACUGACUCUAAAAGCAACAGUGUGCUCAGCUUCCCCAGGUACCACUCUUAGUUAUAUUACAGAGGCAAAGGAUUGAAUGAUUGUGGAGGCUCAAUUGUCUUAAUUAUGCCUGUGUGUGGUCAAUCCACAUCUGAAAAAAUCAAUACAAAGUCUUGCACAGCUCUUUUCUGGACUGUAGAUGGUGUUAAGAUGAGAGAUUGUCAGUCUCCAUCAGCAUCAUCUCACGGAGUAAGAACUUUCAUGUAAUAAAUAUAGUUGGAAUCCAUUUUACGCAGCUGGAUUUUUUCUUCUUUUUAAUAUGCACUAUGUAUUAUUAUAGACAUGUUGCAAUAACUGCUAAAAAAAACUAAAAAUAACUAUUAAAAAAUACAAAUACAUGACGUGCAUCUCUGUCCUGAAAACAGGUGUCCAGUUUUUUAAAGAAUUUACGUCCUAAGAUGCCACAGCCUGUUUGGAUACAUCAGUAACUUUAUACAUGCUUGUUUCUUGUUGGGAAAUCAUGAGCGUGGUUUUGUAGAGGAGCAUGCAAGAAAGAAGUCUGAAGAGGGAAGCUGUUAGGUGAAGUCUGAAAGGCAGGAGUGAGUUUGCUGCGAUUGACUUCUAUGGUGAUAUAGAGCUAGGAAAAUGGUAUUUUGGGUUGAUAGGAUUGC